Molecule: non-coding RNA, 80 nt
Organism: Pelobates cultripes (western spadefoot toad)
Lineage: Eukaryota; Metazoa; Chordata; Amphibia; Anura; Pelobatidae
Source: the annotation of a GenBank genome assembly
AAAGGAGCAGCAACGUUUCGACCUGCUAAGAGGUCUUUGUCAAACACCUCUUAGCAGGUCGAAACGUUGCUGCUCCUUUA